This 500-nucleotide ribosomal RNA is filed under the name uncultured bacterium. RNAcentral's name for it is "bacterial SSU rRNA". It matches the Rfam family "Bacterial small subunit ribosomal RNA", at positions 903 to 1397 of the family's 1533-position model. The record is from RNAcentral.
AAAUGAAUAGACGGGGGCCCGCACAAGCGGUGGAGCAUGUGGUUUAAUUCGAUGCAACGCGAAGAACCUUACCGGGGUUUGACAUGGGAGCCUCGCCGCAAGGCGAGGUCAGCCCUAUGAAAGUAGGGUGUGUCCACACAGGUGCUGCAUGGCUGUCGUCAGCUCGUGUCGUGAGAUGUUGGGUUAAGUCCCGCAACGAGCGCAACCCUCGCCGAUAGUUACCAACGGGUCAUGCCGGGGACUCUAUCGGGACUGCCGGUGAUAAACCGGAGGAAGGUGGGGAUGAUGUCAAGUCAUCAUGGCCCUUACAUCCCGGGCUACACACGUGCUACAAUGGUCGGUACAGCGGGUUGCAAUACCGCGAGGUGGAGCAAAUCCUCAAAGCCGGCCUCAGUACGGAUUGGAGUCUGCAACUCGACUCCAUGAAGCCGGAAUCGCUAGUAAUCGCGGAUCAGAAUGCCGCGGUGAAUACGUUCCCGGGCCUUGUACACACCGCCCGU